RNAcentral lists this ribosomal RNA (303 nucleotides) under uncultured bacterium. RNAcentral describes it as "partial 16S ribosomal RNA". It matches the Rfam family "Bacterial small subunit ribosomal RNA", at positions 507 to 807 of the family's 1533-position model. The record is from RNAcentral.
AGCAGUCGCCACGGUAAUACGUAGGUGGCAAGCGUUGUCCGGAAUUAUUGGGCGUAAAGCGCGCGCAGGUGGUUUAAUAAGUCUGAUGUGAAAGCCCACGGCUCAACCGUGGAGGGUCAUUGGAAACUGUUAAACUUGAGUGCAGGAGAGAAAAGUGGAAUUCCUAGUGUAGCGGUGAAAUGCGUAGAGAUUAGGAGGAACACCAGUGGCGAAGGCGGCUUUUUGGCCUGUAACUGACACUGAGGCGCGAAAGCGUGGGGAGCAAACAGGAUUAGAUACCCCUGUAGUCCCUGUCUCUUAUAC